RNAcentral lists this transfer RNA (71 nucleotides) under Asaia spathodeae NBRC 105894. RNAcentral describes it as "tRNA-Gln". It matches the Rfam family "tRNA". From Rfam's summary of the family: Transfer RNA (tRNA) molecules are approximately 80 nucleotides in length. The record is from RNAcentral. Lineage: Bacteria; Pseudomonadati; Pseudomonadota; Alphaproteobacteria; Acetobacterales; Acetobacteraceae.
UGGGAUGUAGCCAAGCGGUAAGGCAGCGGAUUUUGAUUCCGCCAUCGGAGGUUCGAACCCUCCCAUCCCAG